RNAcentral lists this ribosomal RNA (300 nucleotides) under uncultured Methanomassiliicoccus sp. Its description in RNAcentral is "bacterial SSU rRNA". It matches the Rfam family "Bacterial small subunit ribosomal RNA", at positions 496 to 795 of the family's 1533-position model. Lineage: Archaea; Methanobacteriati; Thermoplasmatota; Thermoplasmata; Methanomassiliicoccales; Methanomassiliicoccaceae. The record is from RNAcentral.
GCGAAUGCCGUGCGAGUAGGCGCGGUAAGACGGAGGGGGCAAGCGUUACUCGGAAUCACUGGGCGUAAAGAGCGGGUAGGCGGGUGAAUAAGUCAGAAGUGAAAUCCAAUAGCUCAACUAUUGAACUGCUUUUGAAACUGUAUACCUAGAAUGUGGGAGAGGCAGAUGGAAUUUCUGGUGUAGGGGUAAAAUCCGUAGAGAUCAGAAGGAAUACCGAUUGCGAAGGCAGCUCACUGGAGCGCAACUGACGCUGAGGCUCGAAAGUGCGGGUAUCGAACAGGAUUAGAUACCCGAGUAGUC